Molecule: ribosomal RNA, 487 nt
Filed under: uncultured bacterium
Lineage: Bacteria
Description: bacterial SSU rRNA
Rfam family: Bacterial small subunit ribosomal RNA
Source: RNAcentral
CUACGUGCCAGCAGCCGCGGUAAUACGGAAGGUCCAGGCGUUAUCCGGAUUUAUUGGGUUUAAAGGGAGCGUAGGCGGAUUGUUAAGUCAGCGGUUAAAGGGUGUGGCUCAACCAUGCAUUGCCGUUGAAACUGGCGAUCUUGAGUGCAGACAGGGAUGCCGGAAUUCGUGGUGUAGCGGUGAAAUGCUUAGAUAUCACGAAGAACUCCGAUCGCGAAGGCAGGUGUCCGGGCUGCAACUGACGCUGAGGCUCGAAAGUGUGGGUAUCAAACAGGAUUAGAUACCCUGGUAGUCCACGCCGUAAACGAUGAGUGCUAGGUGUUAGACCCUUUCCGGGGUUUAGUGCCGCAGCUAACGCAUUAAGCACUCCGCCUGGGGAGUACGACCGCAAGGUUGAAACUCAAAGGAAUUGACGGGGGCCCGCACAAGCGGUGGAGCAUGUGGUUUAAUUCGAUGCAACGCGAAGAACCUUACCUGGUCUUGACAU